This 433-nucleotide ribosomal RNA is filed under the name uncultured bacterium. RNAcentral's name for it is "partial 16S ribosomal RNA". It matches the Rfam family "Bacterial small subunit ribosomal RNA", at positions 29 to 507 of the family's 1533-position model. The record is from RNAcentral.
AGCGAACGCUGGCGGCAGGCUUAACACAUGCAAGUCGAGCGGGCACUUCGGUGUCAGCGGCAGACGGGUGAGUAACACGUGGGAACGUACCCUUUGGUUCGGAAUAACGCUGGGAAACUAGCGCUAAUACCGGAUACGCCCUUUUGGGGAAAGGCUUGCUGCCGAAGGAUCGGCCCGCGUCUGAUUAGCUAGUUGGUGGGGUAAUGGCCUACCAAGGCGACGAUCAGUAGCUGGUCUGAGAGGAUGAUCAGCCACACUGGGACUGAGACACGGCCCACACUCCUACGGGAGGCAGCAGUGGGGAAUAUUGGACAAUGGGCGCAAGCCUGAUCCAGCCAUGCCGCGUGAGUGAUGAAGGCCUUAGGGUUGUAAAGCUCUUUUGUCCGGGACGAUAAUGACGGUACCGGAAGAAUAAGCCCCGGCUAACUUCGUG